RNAcentral lists this ribosomal RNA (656 nucleotides) under alpha proteobacterium IMCC14900. RNAcentral describes it as "bacterial SSU rRNA". It matches the Rfam family "Bacterial small subunit ribosomal RNA", at positions 35 to 737 of the family's 1533-position model. Lineage: Bacteria; Pseudomonadati; Pseudomonadota; Alphaproteobacteria. The record is from RNAcentral.
GCUGCGGCAGGCUUAACACAUGCAAGUCGAGCGCCCUGCUUGCAGGGAGCGGCAGACGGGUGAGUAACGCGUGGGAACAUACCUUUCGGUUCGGAAUAGCCCCGGGAAACUGGGUGUAAUACCGAAUACGUCCUUAGGGAGAAAGAUUUAUCGCCGAAAGAUUGGCCCGCGUUAGAUUAGAUAGUUGGUGAGGUAACGGCUCACCAAGUCGACGAUCUAUAGCUGGUUUGAGAGGAUGAUCAGCCACACUGGGACUGAGACACGGCCCAGACUCCUACGGGAGGCAGCAGUGAGGAAUCUUGGACAAUGGGCGAAAGCCUGAUCCAGCCAUGCCGCGUGAAUGAUGAAGGCCUUAGGGUUGUAAAAUUCUUUCAGCAGGGAAGAUAAUGACGGUACCUGCAAAAGAAGCCCCGGCUAACUCCGUGCCAGCAGCCGCGGUAAUACGGAGGGGGCUAGCGUUGUUCGGAAUUACUGGGCGUAAAGCGCUCGUAGGCGGAUUGGUCAGUCAGAGGUGAAAGCCCAGGGCUCAACCUUGGAAUUGCCUUUGAUACUGCCAGUCUUGAGUUCAGGAGAGGUAAGCGGAAUUCCGAGUGUAGAGGUGAAAUUCGUAGAUAUUCGGAGGAACACCAGAGGCGAAGGCGGCCUUACUGGACUGA